Long non-coding RNA from Poecilia latipinna (sailfin molly), 194 nucleotides. RefSeq lists it as uncharacterized. The transcript has 2 exons. The record is from RefSeq and is a predicted model, not a curated record. NCBI's taxonomy places the organism in Eukaryota, Metazoa, Chordata, Actinopteri, Cyprinodontiformes, Poeciliidae.
GCGGGGCUAGGUCCACCCAGGUGUUUUAACAGCUGAAGCCAGCCUGCUGUGGAUGUUAGUGAAUCAGUGAAAAGGAGAAGCUGUGAAGCUGAGCUGCAUGUCGUCGUUCAGCAGCUGAACUUCUGCUCCGUCACCUCGCUCAGCUUGUUGAGCGGCUCCAGGACUUCCUUCUCCACCGUCAGCUCGAAGUCGGC